ACCUAAGUAACCUAAAAUUUAAGGUACUAAACUUUUAAUUUAGUCAUGAUCAAUAUUUAUCCUUA
RNAcentral lists this transfer RNA (65 nucleotides) under Chiton albolineatus. Its description in RNAcentral is "tRNA-Lys". The record is from RNAcentral. Lineage: Eukaryota; Metazoa; Mollusca; Polyplacophora; Chitonida; Chitonidae.